AACGGGUUGAGUAACACGUGAGAAACCUGCCCCGAAGACCGGAAUAACAACCGGGAAACCGGUGCUAAUACCGGAUGUCCUCCUCGGACCGCAUGGUCCGACGAGGAAAUGGAUUCCGCUUCGGGAUGGUCUCGCGGCUAUCAGCUAGUUGGUGGGGUAACGGCCCACCAAGGCUUCGACGGGUAGCUGGUCUGAGAGGAUGUCCAGCCACACUGGGACUGAGACACGGCCCAGACUCCUACGGGAGGCAGCAGUAGGGAAUCUUGCACAAUGGGGGCAACCCUGAUGCAGCGACGCCGCGUGAGCGAUGAAGCCCUUCGGGGUGUAAAGCUCUUUCGUCAGGGAAGAUGAUGACGGUCCCUGGAGAAGCAGUUGGGUAACUACGUGCCAGCAGCCGCGGUAAUACGUAGGCAGCGAGCGUUGUUCGGAAGUUACUGGGGCGUAAGGGUGUGUAGGCGGUUCUUUAAGUUUGGUGUGAAAUCUCCCGGCUCAACCGGGAGGGUGCGCCGAAUACUGAGGGACUAGAGUACGGGAGAGGAAAGUGGAAUUCCUGGUGUAGCGGUGAAAUGCGUAGAUAUCAGGAGGAACACCGGUGGUGUAGACGGCUUUCUGGACCGUAACUGACGGCUGAGGAACACGAAAGCGUGGGGUUAGCAAACAGGGAUUAGAUACCCCUGGGUAGUCCACGCCCUAAACGAUGCAUAUUUGGUGUGGGCAGGUCAUUCUGUCCGGUGCCGGAGGCUUACG
RNAcentral lists this ribosomal RNA (747 nucleotides) under uncultured bacterium. RNAcentral describes it as "bacterial SSU rRNA". It matches the Rfam family "Bacterial small subunit ribosomal RNA", at positions 100 to 857 of the family's 1533-position model. The record is from RNAcentral.